UAACAGAUCGGGAUUAAGGAUAUCAGAUUCUAAAGUUUUCAGCUCUGAAGGAAUAACUGAAAUGAAGAGAUUAAACAUUAAUCCUCAGAUUAAAGGUCUGAGAGCUCCAGUCUAUCCGUGAUACUGAACCAGGACCCAUCCAGACACACUACUCAGGGUCCAUAUAGAGACACUGAAUAUCUAAUAAUGUGAAUCUUAGCUAACCUAGUACAUAAAUGCCAGUAAACUUUGCACAAUUGUGUUUGCUGGGAAAAUCAGAUUUGCACAGUGGUAAUUU
This is a long non-coding RNA of Eurytemora carolleeae, 277 nucleotides long. RefSeq lists it as uncharacterized. The transcript is spliced from 2 exons. The record is from RefSeq and is a predicted model, not a curated record. Lineage: Eukaryota; Metazoa; Arthropoda; Copepoda; Calanoida; Temoridae.